This 6802-nucleotide long non-coding RNA is filed under the name Olea europaea subsp. europaea. The record is from RNAcentral. Lineage: Eukaryota; Viridiplantae; Streptophyta; Magnoliopsida; Lamiales; Oleaceae.
UGCAAAAAUUUAACUAAACCACAUGUCUUGAAUCAGAAAUAAAUAAUAAUGGGUUUCAUCUUCAUCCAAUAAAUGAGAAAAAUUAGCCUAACAUAAGAUUGAAUUUAAACACAAAAUUGGAAAGACAUCACUGGAAAUUUAACGAGCGCGAUUAAUUCUCCAAUUAAAGUUGCAGUUUUCUGUCCUUUUUCUUCCAAUUUGCUGCCAGCUUUUGCGUGUAACUCCUCCAUGUGCGUGCAUGUUUGUAUAUAAAUUAAUUCCAGUUGGCAGCCCAAACGUUCUCUGCUUCAAUUACAGCUUGUGUUUGUUGUAUAUAUAAAUAAAAUUAGCAGCCAAAUUCUCCUCUAAAGCAACUCUAAUCCUCUUCCAAAGUUAGCCGUCAAUAUGUGCUUAUAUAUUUCAGCAGCAGGCCCCUUUUUUUCUCUCCUUCCUGCCUUGGUUUUCUACGUGAAUGUAUAUAAUUUUGCCCCCACAGUUGCCCCAAAUUCUGUGCCUGUGUAUAUUAUAUAUAAUCACAGCACCCAAGGCAAAUCUAAUGUUUCUCCAAGUUGACUUUUUUGUCUAUAUCUCCAAAUUCUCUUUCUGCCCUUUUUUUGUAGGUUUUCUUUUUCUCCCCCUUCCGUUUCUGCCGGCCUACAUGUAUAUAUAUAUAAUUAAAGUGGGCUAUUUUUUUAUUUCACCAAAGCAACACUUGUUGUUUUGUAUGAGAUGAAUUACAAAGUUGUCAUAAUGGUUGACUUCAAAUCCACUUCCCUUCCUGUUGGCAAUCAUUUCUUGUGUAUAUAUAUCUUUUUCAGCCCAAUUGUAAUCCACUUUGGAGUCCAAUUCACAAAAUAAUAGGUCCAGCCUUUUGUCUCUUUAUUCCAACAAUUUGAUUGCAUUUUUAUCCAAUUUUCGUACUUCUUUCUCUUCAAUUGCUUCCAAUGAGUCAUUUACUAAAAACAAAAGAAAAUUAACUUAAAUUAAAUAAAAAUUAAUAAUUUAACGACUUAAAAGUUUAAUAAUGUGGUAUAAAUAAAUAUACAAAUUGCGUUUAUCAAAUACCCCUGAACUUAAACAUUUGUUCGUGCUCGAACAAAACUAUAACUUAAAUAACAACAAACACACAAGCAUGCAAAAAUAUUUGAUUGGGCAGUUUAGCUUUUUACCUUUGGAUUUGACAUCACCGUAUUAAAUUCAUAAGCCACUUCAAAAUCACUAUAACAAAUUAAUAUCUACUUUUUCAAUACAAAACUAACGUGUGUGUGUGAAGAACUAAGUUGACAUUAAUGAAUUCACAAGAUGUUUCAAUUCUCAACCCUGUAUGGUCAAAUAUAUCCUUUCAUCUCUCGUAAGAUUUACACACACCCAAACUUAUUCUUUUUCACUCUUUUCUUAGCGUGUGAUCUAAGUUUGAAUUUUUUAUUACUAUCCUCACCCUCUCCAAUUCAGGUGGACGGUACUAGUUUUAAGUCAACACAUCAAUGAAUAAUGAUUCUCCAAUUAAUUGAUUGCUUCGAUCGUCAAAACUCAAUUGAGCUAAUUAUCCUUCAUCAAAAGUCAAAUUCACUCGAACAAGUGUUGGGACUUAACAAGGCAAUAUGUGCUUUUGCUUCUUCUUUUUUUAAUGCACUUGUUUUUUUUUUUUUUUAAUUUUUAAAAUUUUUUUGUCUCCUCCUUAAGCUUUCUAAAUGGUCCAUGUAACAGGCUUUACGCCGAUAUCUCCCAAGUUAGAUGACUUUAGGGCACCAGGUUUUAAAAUACCCUUACAGACUUAAUAUCCCAAGUAAAAAAGGCUUCGAAAAGAACAAUUUUUUUUUUGGGUGCAACUUCAUCCCCGAUUACUUUCUAAAUGACCCUUGUAACGAGUUUUAGGCCGAUGACUCCCAAGUCAAAUGACUUUAGGGCACCAGAUUUUAAGAUACCCUUGCAUGUUUGAUUACUCGAGUCAUAAAUGCUUCAAAAAGAAGUUUUAAAUUUUAAAAUAUAUGCAUUGACUAGUGCAACGUCCCUUAUCACACAUCUAUUCAAGCAAACCGACCUCCAAUUUACGACAUUUACCCAAUUUUAUCAUGUUAAUUUAAGACAAUCCACACAAACUUUUUCAUACAAGAAAUCCACAUUCACAUUCGUAUCUUCCUACAAUAGUAAGAUCUCCCCAAAUUGUACUAAAUUUGGUCUAAGGAUAAUAAUAAGUAUGAUUUAGGUAAAGCAUCUAUGUCCAACUAAACAAUCUAUCACGUGUAUGAAUCAACUCAUUUAGGUAAAGCAUCUAUGUCCAACUAAACAAUCUAUCACGUGUAUGAAUCAACUCAUUUCAUAACAAUGUCAGCUCAGUUGUUGUGCGCAUAUAAUAUCAACUUUUGCAAAUUUAAGUUUCAAUCAAUUUAGCAUGCUUCCUAUCCACAGUUCAUAAAUCAAUACCAAAUCUCAAAUUUAGUCAUCAUUGUCAGUCAAAUUGUCUAACCCACACAAGCACACAAUCAAAAAUAAAAUAAAAUAAAUUAACGAUUUUUUUUUUUAAAUGAAAACCAAGAAUUCAAAGUUUUUCCCACCCCCCAAAUUUCAACCCGACAUUGUCCUCAAUGUCUUAAAGCAUAAUUAAGAAUGUAAGGGGACAAGAAAAAAAAGGACGAAAGUAUUCCCCGAAUUUUCCUGUUGAAUAUGGAAAGGACUAUGGGUGAUGGCCAAACAAUUUUCCUCAUCAUGUUUUUCCUUGAUUUAUGUUGGUUUGAGUGUUCCAAGACAUCACGUUCCUACAUAUGGCAAUCAAAUCAAGCAUUAUAGAUCAAAUAAUCUAGAACAUGUGUUACUUAGCCCAAACACUCGAAGUAACCAACAUUAAAUUUAAAGGUCUCAGUGAAAACAUGAUCGAAUGAUGAUACCCUUUAAAUUUAGACAUGCCUAAAUCUAAUGCAAACUAAUAAUUAAAACAAGUCUAUAUGCAAUACGAUGCAGAAAACAAAAUAAAUAAAUAAUAAUGAAAUUGGGUUGCCUCCCAAUAAGCGCUUAAUUUAUAGUUUUUAGCUAGACUUUGUUUUUUUGACUAUUCAUGGUGGCUUGAAAAGAGAAUUUUCAGCUCUGCAUUUUAUGCACUGAUUGCAUUUCCUUUUUUCAUCUUUCACCCUCUACACAAUUAAGAUUCCAUUGUUAUCUCUACCAACAAUUCCACAUUCAUUUGGCCUGCCUUUGUAGCUCUCCCAAUAAUCAACUCGUUGACAAUCCUCAAAAUAUGAUGGUUGCUUGAUUGGAUUUUCCAUGAUGAAGCUCUAUUGCUUAUCCUCCAUCCUUAAGAUAAUCUCGUUAGCAUUAAAAUCUAGCAAGGCUUGGCUUGUUGACAAGAAUGGCAUUCCCAGAAUUAUUGGCAUCUGAUAUGCCUCUUCAAUGUCAAGGAUGAUGAAGUCAGCUGGAAAAAUAAACUCCCCUGCCUUGAUAAGCAUGUCUUCAACUAUUCUGUAAGGGUGUUUUUGUGAUCGGUCCGCCAGCUAAAGGAUAAUAGAUGCCGCCUUAAGAUCUCUUAAUCCCAGUUUUCUGUAAAGAGGUAAGGGAAUUAAAUUAAUAUUCUCUCCUGAAUCAAUUAAACAAUUUAUAUCAUUUAAAUUUCCUAUGGAACAAGGUACAAUGAAACUCCAUGGAUCUUUAAGUUUGGGAGAGAUCCUAUGCUGGAUGAUUGCACUGCACUCUUUAGAGAGUGCUAUUGUUUCAUGUUCUGGCGACUUUCUCUUCUUAGUCAACAUCUCCUUAAAAAAAUUAGCAUAAUUUGGAAUUUGUAGAAUACCAUCAAUAAAAGGAAUGUUGAUGUGAAGUUGUUCGAGGGUGUUCAAGAAAUUUUUGAAUUGUUUGUCUAGUUUAUUAUUCUACAACCAUUGAGGGAAUGGAACUAAAGGUGUGUGUUUAUUGCUAAAAAUAGUUGUCUUGACAUGUGGAUUAUUUGACUGUUCUUCUUGAUUAACUUUUGAUGAUUUUUCAGACUGACCCACUUGUUCUUCCCUCGAGGUAGGUACUUGAUUCUCCUCAGUCUUCUUCUUCUUCUUCACUGUGAUUUCUGGUAGCUGAACAUCGCUUCUUAUUGUGAUAGCGAGGACUUGUUCCUUUUUAGGUUGUCUUUGAAGCCUUUGAGGGAAUGGGAUAGAUGGCACAUAAGCUCGAACAGAUAUAGCAGGCUUAAUCGACGGCGUUAUGAUAGUUGCAUAAUUCACAUCUUCAAUUGUUAAUACCUGCUCCUUUGGGUUCUUUUCUGUAUCGCUCGGUAGAGUACUUUGUGCUCUGUUACCUAAUGUAGCUACUAUCUGUCCCACCUAUUUCUCUAAGUUAUGUAUAGAAGCUUGUUGAUUCUAUAUCACCAUCUCAGUCUUGGUGACGUACUUGACAAGUAGAUCCUCCAAUGAUUGCUUUUUUUCUUCUUGUUGCUGAAUCAUUGGUAGAUUACCCCUCAUCUGAUUUACUUGAUUUGAAUUAUCAACCAGCGUAGUUAGGAUGCUUGUUCAAACUCAGAUGGUAGUUGUAUGGGUAAGGUCCAUUUUAACUAUGAUAGUUUUGUGCAUAAUUGACUUCUACUAGCUGACCUAUGUGAGUAGAAGCCAAAGUGCAACUUGCAAUAAUGUGAUUUGCCCCCACAACCUAUGCAUUUCGAAGCUAGAGUUUGUACUAUAUUCACAAAAUGGGUCAAAGAGUCAAGCUUUCUAGUUAUUGCCUCCAUCCGUGCUGUCAACACUAUCGCUGCAUCCACAUUAUAUAUACCAGUUGUUUUCCUCAGGACUUCCCUGUUGCACGGCCACAUUGAUUGAUUUUCUGCUAUUGUCUCAUACAGCUCAUAAGCAUCAUCCACAUUUAUAGCCAUUAUUGAUCCUCUCGCUGAAGCAUCUACCAUAUUCUUGAAAUCUUAGCGUAUUCCACAGUAAAAGAUGUAUAUUUGUGCUUGUUUAGGAAUGUCAAGAUUGGGGCACUUCCUCAAUAAGUUCUUAUACCUUUCUCAUGUCUCUGGAUAGCUCUCAAUAUCUUUCUGCUUAAUGGUAUGGAUUUUAUUCCGAAUUUGAUGAACUCGAGUUGGCGGAAAAAACUUCAUGGUAAAUUUUUGAAUCAUGUCAUUCCAUGAUAUAAUGCUCCCAAGAGGCUGUGACAUCAUCCAUAUUUUAUCACCUUUAGUUUGUGACAUCAUCCAUAUUUUCGCACCUUCCUUCAAAGUAUGAGGAUAUAGACACAUUCGAAAUGCAACCUAUGGCAUCCCCUCAUGGCUAAUUACAUCACAUAGCAUGGUAAAAGCUUGAAUGUGUUCAUGUGGAUUUUUUGUAGCUUUCCCGCUAAAUCUGAUGUCUUGAUGAUUUUGAAAGAGGUUUAUGACAUCUGGUCGAAUGUGGAAGUUAGCUUCUCCAACGGGCAGGUAGAUGAUCGGAGGUUGAAUCAGUGCUAGCACUGAAUUUUCAAAAUCUCUCACUAAAACUUCUCCAUGAUUUGCUACUGCCCUUGGCUAAUCAGGCUGAAUUGGCUGAGGUAGUGGCAAAGGGUUCUGAGCUUGAUUUUGAUGUUGGUUUUCUGCUAUAUAUCUUACUUGACUCUGCUCGAUUCUUCGCUGUCUUAAAGUUCUUUUGAUUUCGGGAUUUAUUGGAAGAAGCUUGAUCUCGUCAGAAUUUUGCAUAAACUAAGAUUUCUUGAAAAGAGUAAAACAAGAUAUAUAGAUCGUUCAAUGAAUAGCCUUAAACAAAUAAAGUAAAAAAAUGAAAAAAGGAAUAAAAACUUCAAAUCUAAAAAUAACUAGUAAACUCAAAUUAAAUAAAUUAUUCCCCGGUAACGGCGCCAAAAACAUGUUCGAGUGAAACUUGCAAGUGUACAGGAUCGUUGACAAAUAAUAGAUUUAGUGAGUUAGAGUAUCAUCCUACGAGGAAUAAAAUUUAAUUGAGUGUACUAGUCCUUAAAUAGAUGCAAACCGAACAAAUUAAAAGUGAUUUUUGUGAUUUUUAAUUAUUCUAAUUUAAUCUACGAAAAUAUAUAAAAUGUGAAUUUAAAAUGUAAAUGGGAAGAGUGUAUUGGAUUACAAAUCCACCUAUUAUUAUUUGGUCCAAUUCCUAACUACGUAGCUAGUUUCGUUCUUGCAUUCUUGACAAUCGAUAAUUCUGUUGUGAUUAAUUUUCUUUUCCAAGACAAAUUAAAUAUAUCCUAUUCAUGACCCGAUCCUAUUCCUAGUCCGAAUUCAUAUGAAUAAAACGCAUUCAAUUUCACGAUUAUCUCAAAGAUUGUAACGUGAUAAAUCUUAUUCCUAAAAUUUAUUGUACCUUCCAACACUACAACGAGCAACUAUAUAUUUAAUUGGUGAUCAGGCAAUCAAAUAAUAAAUUAAGCAUGCAAGAUUAAUCAACAAUUGCAAGAAUUUAACUAAACCACAUGUCUUGAAUUAAAAAUAAAUAAUAACGGGUUUCAUUUUCAUCCAAUAAAUGAGAAAAAUUAGCCUAACAUAAGAUUGGAAUUAAAACAUAAAAUUGGAAAGACAUCACCCGAAAUUUAGCGAGCGCGAUUAAUUCUCCAAUUAAUGUUGCUAUUUUCUGUCCUUUUUCUUCCAAUUUGCAGUCGGCUUUUGCGUGUAACUCCUCCCCGUGCGUGUAUGUUUGUAUAUAAAUUAUUUCCAGUUGGCAGCCCAAAUGUUCUCUGCUUCAAUUACAGCUUGUGUUUGCUGUAUAUAUAACUAAAAUCAACUGCCAAAUUCUCCUCAAAAGCAACUCUAAUCCUUCUCCAAAUUCAGCCGUCAAUAUGUGUUUAUAUAUUUCAACAACUGGCCCCUUCUUUUCUCUCCUCCCUACCUUGGUUUUCUACGUGAAUCUCUAUAAUUUUG